Molecule: long non-coding RNA, 550 nt
Organism: Xyrauchen texanus (razorback sucker)
Lineage: Eukaryota; Metazoa; Chordata; Actinopteri; Cypriniformes; Catostomidae
Exons: 4
Source: RefSeq, a predicted model, not a curated record
CUCUUUCUACAUAGUGCAAAGAGCCAUUUAAGCCAUGCUCUCGCAGACGUAUUACUCGGGCGAACGCGUGAACAUCCUAUCUCAAAUUGAAUAUUAUUUUAAAAGCUUGAGGGCGACGUUACCCUGCAAGCACAAAGAAUUAAUGUCGACAAAACUGUUUCGUCAAGGCUUGGGUUACUCUCCACUUCAGGAGAUGCCAUAUUCAUUUAACAUGGGUUUUUGGCAAAGUCCUUCACCUAACUCAAAGCGCAUCUGAAGUUCUGGACAUCAACAUCAUCAGAGCCAUGACAAGUGAAAGUCAAAGGGGGACAUUCGACUUCAAAACAAUGACAUAAACAAUGUCAUAAAAGUGGCUCUGGAGUGAAGCAUUACUAUUUUGACCAUCAUCAUACAGUUAAAACACAACACUUCUAUUCUUCAUUUAAGUAUAAAGAUGCAAUUUAGAGAGAUGCAGUCGAUGCAAACUGAUGACAUAGAGAUGGCUGAAGUAAAGUGAAUUUUUGUUUAAUUUGUUAUAUCCAAAAAACCUCACUCAGUUUGUCAGACCAGU